UUACAAAAACAUCAUAACAUGUCAGUAAGUAACAGGGUAUUUUCUGACAGAAUACAGAAGGAAACCAAAAAGUGGUGAGAAAAAACUGUUGUCUACUGGCUGCUCUGUCAUUUCCUGUCUCCCUCCCACUCAGAGUCCACAGUCUAGAUCAGGGCUACUGUGCUGCUCUUCUCUCUCCAUCACUGAGGAGUCAAGAUGCUCAAAGUUUUCAUUUGGGUCACUGUCUUACUGCACUGGCUCACAGGUCUGGCAGACUGUAACAGUGUUUACCAGGAUCCUCCUGCUCUGUUCAUUACAAAACUCAAUAAAACUGCUAAGCUCAGCUGCAGCCACAAUAUAAAAAGCUAUGAACGCAUGUACUGGUACCUGCAAAAUGCAAAAGGAGCUUUUAAAUACCUUGGAUAUCUUAAUCUGAACAACCCUUAUCCUGAAGAUGAGUUUAAAGACAAAAUCACCUUAACGGGAGAUGGAAGAAACAAAGGCGUUUUAGAGAUUUCCUCAAUAACAGCUGCUGACAGCGGUGUAUAUUUCUGUGCAGCUAGUACACACAGUGCUGCAGAUCAUCCCUUUUCUUUACAAAAACCCUUCUGAGCCACCCCCUCACCAGCGACAUCAGUAGAACACAUCAGCUCUCCACCAGCCUCAAAGCAUUUUGUGAGACUUCAGAAAGUGUAACACUAAUAGCUGUUCUUGCAACAUUGAUAUUUUGCAAGAGUGAAAAAGAUCGCAUUGCUUAAAUUUCUCCUACUGUAUCUGUCACUAAACAACUGCACAACUUACACAGGUCACUGUGAGGUGAGUAAAGUUUUGCAGACCCCAAUCCUCUGGAGAAAGCCAGGGGGGUCUGCAGAGAUGCACUGUGA
Molecule: long non-coding RNA, 863 nt
Organism: Lepisosteus oculatus (spotted gar)
Lineage: Eukaryota; Metazoa; Chordata; Actinopteri; Semionotiformes; Lepisosteidae
Source: RefSeq, a predicted model, not a curated record